AGAAUGAACGUUGGCGGCGUGGAUUAGGCAUGCAAGUCGAGCGGACCGGAGUAGCAAUACACCGGUCAGCGGCGAAAGGGAGAGUAACGCGUGGAUUAUCUGCCCUCGGGUCCGGGAUACCGCGGCACAACCGCAAGCAAUACCGGAUAACGUCAAAGGACCAAAGGUGUGAUUCCGCCUGAGGAUGAGUCCGCGUCCUAUCAGCUUGUUGGUGGGGUAACGGCCUACCAAGGCAACGACGGGUACUGGGUGUGAGAGCACGACCCAGCUCACUGGGACUGAGACACUGCCCAGACACCUGCGGGUGGCUGCAGUCGAGGAUCUUCGGCAAUGGGCGCAAGCCUGACCGAGCGACGCCGCGUGUGGGAUGAAGGCCUUCGGGUUGUAAACCACUGUCAGAGGGGAUGAAAUUCACGGGGGUUCUCCCCUGGGUUUGACAUAUCCUCAGAGGAAGUACGGGCUAAGUUCGUGCCAGCAGCCGCGGUAAGACGAACCGUACAAACGUUAUUCGGAAUCACUGGGCUUAAAGGGUGCGUAGGCUGUGCAGAAAGUUGGGUGUGAAAUCCCUCGGCUUAACCGAGGAACUGCGCCCAAAACUACUGUGCUAGAGGAAGACAGAGGUGAGCGGAACGUAGGGUGGAGCGGUGAAAUGCGUUGAUAUCCUAUGGAACACCGGUGGCGAAAGCGGCUCACUGGGUCUUUUCUGACGCUGAGGCACGAAAGCCAGGGGAGCGAACGGGAUUAGAUACCCCGGUAGUCCUGGCCGUAAACGAUGAGCACUGGGUUGGAGGGUCCUUCAUAGCCUUCCAGUCGUAGCGAAAGUGUUAAGUGC
Molecule: ribosomal RNA, 832 nt
Filed under: uncultured bacterium
Lineage: Bacteria
Description: bacterial SSU rRNA
Rfam family: Bacterial small subunit ribosomal RNA
Source: RNAcentral